RNAcentral lists this ribosomal RNA (503 nucleotides) under uncultured bacterium. RNAcentral's name for it is "partial 16S ribosomal RNA". It matches the Rfam family "Bacterial small subunit ribosomal RNA", at positions 30 to 523 of the family's 1533-position model. The record is from RNAcentral.
AUUGAACGCUGGCGGCAGGCUUAACACAUGCAAGUCGAGCGGGGUGAUGGUGCUUGCACUAUCACUUAGCGGCGGACGGGUGAGUAAUGCUUAGGAAUCUGCCUAUUAGUGGGGGACAGCAUCUCGAAAGGGAUGCUAAUACCGCAUACGUCCUACGGGAGAAAGCAGGGGAUCACUUGUGACCUUGCGCUAAUAGAUGAGCCUAAGUCGGAUUAGCUAGUUGGUGGGGGAAAGGCCUACCAAGGCGACGAUCUGUAGCGGGUCUGAGAGGAUGAUCCGCCACACUGGUGCAGAGACACGGCCCAGAAUCCUACGGGAGGCAGCAGUUGGGAAUAUUGGACAAUGGGGGGAACCCUGAUCCAGCCAUGCCGCGUGUGUGAAGAAGGCCUUAUGGUUGUAAAGCACUUUAAGCGAGGAGGAAGCUCUUUUGGUUAAUACCCAAGAUGAGUGGACGUUACUCGCAGAAUAAGCACCGGCUAACUCUGUGCCAGCCGCCGCUGUAA